ACCUGCGGAAGGAUCAUUAUUGAAUGAACUUGGCGUUGGUUGCAGCUGGCCCUCUCGGGGGCAUGUGCUCGCCCGUCAUCUUUAUCUCUCCACCUGUGCACCCUUUGUAGACCUGGAUAAUAGACUCUCCGAGGCAACUCGGUCGGGAGGACUUGGACCCCUUCAUCGGGAGACUUUCCUUGCCAAUUAACCAGGCCUAUGUUUUCAUAUACCCCAAAGUAUGUAACAGAAUGUAUCAUAUGGCCCUAGUGCCUAUAAACUAUAUACAACUUUCAGCAACGGAUCUCUUGGCUCUCGCAUCGAUGAAGAACGCAGCGAAAUGCGAUAAGUAAUGUGAAUUGCAGAAUUCAGUGAAUCAUCGAAUCUUUGAACGCACCUUGCGCUCCUUGGUAUUCCGAGGAGCAUGCCUGUUUGAGUGUCAUUAAAUUCUCAACCUUACCAGCUUUUGCUAGUAACGGCUUGGACUUGGGGGUCUUUUGCUGGCUUCGUCAAGAGGUCUGCUCCCCUUAAAUGCAUUAGCCGGCGCCCCGCGUGGAACCGUCUAUUGGUGUGAUAAUUAUCUACGCCGUGGACGUUCUGCUUUAAUGGGUCUUUGCGCUGCUUCUAACCGUCUGUUAACUCGGACAAACCAAAUGACAAUUUGACCUCAAA
RNAcentral lists this small RNA (651 nucleotides) under Psilocybe atrobrunnea. Its description in RNAcentral is "eukaryotic LSU rRNA". The stretch from base 268 to 421 matches the Rfam family "5.8S ribosomal RNA". Lineage: Eukaryota; Fungi; Basidiomycota; Agaricomycetes; Agaricales; Agrocybaceae. The record is from RNAcentral.